This 258-nucleotide ribosomal RNA is filed under the name uncultured bacterium. Its description in RNAcentral is "partial 16S ribosomal RNA". It matches the Rfam family "Bacterial small subunit ribosomal RNA", at positions 333 to 588 of the family's 1533-position model. The record is from RNAcentral.
UUUGGCCUACGGGGGGCAGCAGUGAGGAAUAUUGGUCAAUGGACGAGAGUCUGAACCAGCCAAGGCGCGUGAGGGAUGACUGCCCUAUGGGUUGUAAACUUCUUUUAUAUGGGAAUAAAAUGUUCCACGUGUGGGAUUUUGUAUGUACCAUAUGAAUAAGCAUCGGCUAACUCCGUGCCAGCAGCCGCGGUAAUACGGAGGAUCCGAGCGUUAUCCGGAUUUAUUGGGUUUAAAGGGUGCGUAGGCGGAUGGUUAAGU